RNAcentral lists this ribosomal RNA (431 nucleotides) under uncultured bacterium. RNAcentral's name for it is "bacterial SSU rRNA". It matches the Rfam family "Bacterial small subunit ribosomal RNA", at positions 958 to 1392 of the family's 1533-position model. The record is from RNAcentral.
AACGCGAAGAACCUUCCAGGUCUUGACAUCCUUUGACCCUCUAGAGAUAGAGCUUUCCCUUCGGGGACAAAGUGACAGGUGGUGCAUGGUUGUGUCAGCUCGUGUCGUGAGAUGUUGGGUUAAGUCCCGCAACGAGCGCAACCCUUAUUACUUAGUUGCCAGCAUUUAGUUGGGCACUCUAGUGAGACUGCCGGUGACAAACCGGAGGAAGGUGGGGAUGACGUCAAAUCAUCAUGCCCCUUAUGACCUGGGCUACACACGUGCUACAAUGGAUGGUACAACGAGUCGCAAGGUCGCGAGGCCAAGCUAAUCUCUUAAAGCCAUUCUCAGUUCGGAUUGUAGGCUGCAACUCGCCUACAUGAAGCCGGAAUCGCUAGUAAUCGCGGAUCAGAACGCCGCGGUGAAUACGUUCCCGGGUCUUGUACACACCG